RNAcentral lists this small nucleolar RNA (141 nucleotides) under Oncorhynchus mykiss (rainbow trout). RNAcentral describes it as "Small nucleolar RNA SNORA22". It matches the Rfam family "Small nucleolar RNA SNORA22". Rfam says of the family: ACA22 is a member of the H/ACA class of snoRNA that guide the sites of modification of uridines to pseudouridines. The record is from Rfam by way of RNAcentral. Lineage: Eukaryota; Metazoa; Chordata; Actinopteri; Salmoniformes; Salmonidae.
AUGUACGGUUAACACCCAUGUGUGCUUUUUUUUUGUAGCUCCCAUGGAUUUUACUCUGUAAUAUAGUAAAGUGUUGUCUGUAACCUCUGCAUUGGAGGAGUUGCAUUCUCCUCCACAUGUAUUCAGUAGACCAGUACAUCU